CCAGACUCCUACGGGAGGCAGCAGUGGGGGAUAUUGCACAAUGGGGGAAACCCUGAUGCAGCGACGCCGCGUGGGUGAAGGAGUACUUCGGUACGUAAAGCCCUAUCAGCAGGAAAGAAAAUGACGGUACCUGACUAAGAAGCCCCGGCUAACUACGUGCCAGCAGCCGCGGUAAUACGUAGGGGGCAAGCGUUAUCCGGAUUUACUGGGUGUAAAGGGGGCGCAGACGGCGAUGCAAGCCAGGAGUGAAAGCCCGGGGCCCAACCCCGGGACUGCUCUGGAAACUGCGUCGCUGGAGUACGGGAGGGGCAGGCGGAAUUCCUGGUGUAGCGGUGAAAUGCGUAGAUAUCAGGAGGAACACCGGCGGCGAAGGCGGCCUGCUGGACCGUGACUGACGUUGAGGCUCGAGAGCGUGGGGAGCAAACAGGAUUAGAUACCCUGGUAC
RNAcentral lists this ribosomal RNA (445 nucleotides) under uncultured bacterium. RNAcentral describes it as "bacterial SSU rRNA". It matches the Rfam family "Bacterial small subunit ribosomal RNA", at positions 331 to 793 of the family's 1533-position model. The record is from RNAcentral.